AUGAGGAGCAGCUCAGCAGCUCUUCAGGAGUUACUCAGCAGCUCUGUACAAAGCUGCUGAGGAGCUGAAGUACCCUGCCAACCGCCAUGGAUGUGAGCUUCAAAAUGAAUCCUCAAGGCCCAGUUAUGUCUUCAGAAAUAAGAGUCCUGGACAGCAGUUUGACAGCAAUCUCAGGAGAGACUCCUAUCCAGCUAAGUUCCUCCUGAAUUCCUGACCCUCAGAAACUGUGGGAGAUUAGAAAUGUUUUCAGUUGAUAAGUUUGGGGGGCUUUUCCUUAUAUAGCAAAGGAUGGUUACUAUAGACAUUCAAGUUGUGGCUUAGCUUAAUGCAUCUGUCUUUAUCUGUCUGUCUCUUUAUUUUAGGUCACAGCAAUGCUAGUCCUGAUAGCAAGCUUUGUAGAAUCAGUCCAUGGAGAUCUGAUGUGCGUCAUGGGAACCAUAACAGGAUGUGACACAGCAGAAGUUUGUUCCUACCUAAGGAGAAAGGAGAAGCAGGAGCUCUUCGGGGAAGAGAUAAAAAAGAUAAGAGAAAGAAAAAAAAGGAAAUAUUCAGAUAUUUGGGUCCUAGCGUCUGCCAUUGGGCCACUGGGAAUGGUUGCAUGGUUUGUUCACUGUAUAUGUGUAUACUUGGCCAGAGGCUACCUUCCACCCAGCAAGCUUUGCAGCUGGCCCCAGGUUACAUCUUCCUGAGAGGUUUUACUUUCUAACUCUCAUAACACAUCUGUAUCAGUUUCCUAGAGCUUCUAUAACAAAGUAGCACAAAUUGAUGGCUUAAAACAAGAGAAAUUUAUUCUUCUACAGUUCUGGAGGAUAGAAAUCUAAAAUCUAGGUAUCAGUAAGACCAUGUCCUCUGAGACUCUGAAAUCUUUCUUUACCUCUUCCUAGUCUGAUAACAGCCAUCCAUCCUUGGCAUUCCUUGGCUUGAAUCUGCAACCAUUCCAAUUCCCACUGUCGCAGAGUUCUGUCCCUCUGUGCCUCUGUUUCAAUCCAGCCAUCUUCCAUUUUAUUAUGGGGACAGCAGUUAGAUUAGGAGGCCAAUCUACUCUAGUAAGAUGCCAUGUUAACUCGUGUUUACAGUGGUGCUAAUUUCAAAUAACAUCAACUCAACCUUAAAGGAGAGAAAAUAGUCCUAGCAAACAAGUCAGCAGAUUUUCGACAGAUUUCAAGAUUUUCAAAUUGCUCUUCAUGCCAGUUCUUUAGAGAUAGAAAGAUAUGCUGUAGGGGGCCAAAGAGAACAAAAGAAAAAUAAAUAAAAUUAUGAAUGCACAAAAAUUUACAGAGACCCUUCAAAAGAGGGAUUGGCUAGAUCCUAAUCAAUUUACAGCAAGGUGAUAGAAAACACAGGACUUGGAAUCACAAUGUAAGAAUGUGAAAUCCAUUUCUGCCCUGUAUUACCUUUGUGAUCAUGUAGUAGUUACCAAACUUCUCUAAAUCUUAGCUUUCUCAUUCACUAGAUGGAAAUUACAACAUUAAAACUACGUGCAUCACACAGUUUCUGUAAGAGUUCAGUGAAAAACAUAACACACACUACCUGUGAGUAGGAUCCGAAACCACCACUGAUACUGCACAGGAAGUAACAUAGUGCUACACAGCUCACACAUAGAGCAAAAAAAUAAUUCUUCUACAGUAAAGCAAAAGCCUCAGAGAAUGCAGUUCCUAGAGCCAACAUCCAAAUGGUUCACAAAUUAGCAACCAACAGCUGCUCCCAGUUAGCACGUUAAUACCAAUGACUGUGUUUUCACUAACAAGCCCCCAACACCUUAGGGACAGAUGACAGAGAGAAUACAGACCAGGCCCCAGCAGCUGAGGCUUAUCAACGGUACCUUAACAAGAAGAAACUGAAGAGUGAUAACAAAAGUUCCUUAAUGGGAAGGAAUGGAAGAGUGAUAACAGAAGUUUGGUUGCAAAACCCUGUUGCUUUCAGAUCUCCUUUCAGUGCAACCAUGGAGCAGGCAGUAGCAUCACUGGACAGAAACUUGUUGGAAGUGCGACAUGGCAAGCUCUGUCUCAGACAUGGUGAUCAGGGCCUGUGUUUUCACAGCAGCCGCAGGCAAAUCACUUUGCCCUCACAGAAGCUCUGUUCCUGGGUCAACUGAACAGAGACACAGAGGCCUGCUCUGCCUCAUCGCUACAUCACGAUCCUGAUGUCCAGAUGAGCAGAAGCAGAUGAACAGCAGCAGCCUUUGGAAUGAAAAUCUCUCUGGGUCGCAGCUUGCUGCAUGCCACAAGAGCACCUGUUAAGUAAGCUUCCUGGUAGAAACUCUGAUGGGGUUGGAUAUUCUCAAGGCUUGCUUUGUUCAGAGGAUGAAGUGACAUACAGAAUAUUGGGAAAUUGCCUCAAUCACGUCCAGUUUACCACACCUGCGUUCUAACAGCAAUGGGCAAGAUUUCUAGCAAGCAGACUGGCAAAUUCACAGAUCCAUAGCAAUCUGAGAUUUCCCAUAGAAGUUAUUUUAGAAAUGCCAAGUAUCUUGUUUAUGUUAAACCAAGAACUGAAAUGUUGAUUGCCACAUUCACCACCACAGAGAAAACACAGACUGAAAGGCUUUCACAUUUUUGAUAGACUAGGCAAAAAAGGAACAGUCAUUAAUCUUGCUGAAACUCUAUAAUAUAGAAUUAUUUAAGUGGCUGUGAAAGGAAAUAAAAUAUGCUAUAGAGAACAGAAAAAUAGCUUUUAGGGAGAUGCCUUGCUUUUUAAAAAAUGAGUCUGUGAUUUUACAAUAAUGACAUAAAAGCUAAAAUGUUAUUUCCUAGUCUUUAUUACAUUUAGCUGCCAUUGAAACCAAAGUAAUGGAAUAGUUAUAUUUGUAUGUGUAAAAUAACUACAAAUUAUCCAUUCAUCACAAAACAUUUUAUCCCUUAUCUAUUUAGAUAUAAUUGUAGCCUUGCUUUCUUACAUUUUAGAUAAUAGGAUGUGGAUUAAUAAAAAUUUCAGUUAAGUAAAUUAUUUUCUGCUUAGUCUUGGUUUUAUUCUGUCCCCUGUUCUUUGGUGCUAAACUGGGCAAAAAGCAUGUAUCUUGGCAACAUAAAUUUUC
Cavia porcellus (domestic guinea pig) is the source of this 3034-nucleotide long non-coding RNA. RefSeq lists it as uncharacterized. The record is from RefSeq and is a predicted model, not a curated record. Lineage: Eukaryota; Metazoa; Chordata; Mammalia; Rodentia; Caviidae. The transcript has 3 exons.